UGGGUGUACUGUUCUGCCACCAGGAAUAAC
Molecule: non-coding RNA, 30 nt
Filed under: Mus musculus (house mouse)
Lineage: Eukaryota; Metazoa; Chordata; Mammalia; Rodentia; Muridae
Source: RNAcentral